AGAGCGAACGCUGGCGGCAGGCCUAAAACAUGCAAGUCGAACGCCCGUAGCAAUACGGGAGUGGCAGACGGGUGAGUAACACGUGGGAACGUGCCCUUUGGUCCGGAACAACCCAGGGAAACUUGGGCUAAUACUGGAUAAGCCCUUACGGGGAAAGAUUUAUCGCCAGUAGGAGUCGGCCCGCGUCUGAUUAGCUAGUUGGUGAGGUAACGGCUCACCAAGGCUACGAUCAGUAGCUGGUCUGAGAGGAUGACUCACGCCACUA
Molecule: ribosomal RNA, 265 nt
Filed under: uncultured soil bacterium
Lineage: Bacteria
Description: partial 16S ribosomal RNA
Rfam family: Bacterial small subunit ribosomal RNA
Source: RNAcentral